Molecule: ribosomal RNA, 704 nt
Filed under: uncultured bacterium
Lineage: Bacteria
Description: bacterial SSU rRNA
Rfam family: Bacterial small subunit ribosomal RNA
Source: RNAcentral
CAUGCAAGUCGAACGGCAGCACGGGUACUUGUACCUGGUGGCGAGUGGCGAACGGGUGAGUAAUACAUCGGAACGUACCUUAUCGUGGGGGAUAACGCAGCGAAAGCUGUGCUAAUACCGCAUACGCCCUGAGGGGGAAAGCGGGGGAUCGAAAGACCUCGCGCGAUUAGAGCGGCCGAUGCCUGAUUAGCUUGUUGGUGGGGUAAAAGCCCACCAAGGCGACGAUCAGUAGCUGGUCUGAGAGGACGAUCAGCCACACUGGGACUGAGACACGGCCCAGACUCCUACGGGAGGCAGCAGUGGGGAAUUUUGGACAAUGGGGGAAACCCUGAUCCAGCAAUGCCGCGUGAGUGAAGAAGGCCUUCGGGUUGUAAAGCUCUUUUGUCAGGGAAGAAACACCGGCUCUAACACUGUCCGGGAAUGACGGUACCUGAAGAAUAAGCACCGGCUAACUACGUGCCAGCAGCCGCGGUAAUACGUAGGGUGCAAGCGUUAAUCGGAAUUACUGGGCGUAAAGCGUGCGCAGGCGGUUAUACAAGACAGGCGUGAAAUCCCCGGGCUUAACCUGGGAAUGGCGCCUGUGACUGUAUAGCUAGAGUGUGUCAGAGGGGGGUAGAAUUCCACGUGUAGCAGUGAAAUGCGCAGAUAUGUGGAGGAAUACCAAUGGCGAAGGCAGCCCCCUGGGAUAACACUGACGCUCAUGC